Molecule: ribosomal RNA, 580 nt
Filed under: uncultured bacterium
Lineage: Bacteria
Description: partial 16S ribosomal RNA
Source: RNAcentral
CGGGGCUUUCUCUGAGGGUACAGUCAUAUACCGAUCCAAUCGGUACUAUUCUUCUCCUCUAACAGGAGUUUACAACCUUACGGCCUUCAUCCUCCACGCGGCGUUGCUGGGUCACCCUUGCGGGCAUUGCCCAAUAUUCCUCACUGCUGCCUCCCGUAGGAGUCUGGACCGUGUCUCAGUUCCAGUGUGGCUGAUCAUCCUCUCAGACCAGCUACUGAUCGUUGCCUUGGUAGGCCAUUACCCUACCAACUAGCUAAUCAGACGCAAGCUCAUCUUUAGGCAUUACUCAAACUUUAACAACAUCACCAUGCGAUGCCGCUGCAUUAUCUGGUAUUAGCCUCGAUUUCUCGAAGUUAUUCCAGACCCAAAGGUAGAUUGCUUACGUGUUACGCACCCGUGCGCCACUUUACUAAAGAUAUUGCUACCUCGUUCUCGUAGACUUGCAUGUGUUAAGCACGCCGCCAGCGUUCGUCCUGAGCCAGGAUCAAACUCUAAUCGAAUUCCCGCGGCCGCCAUGGCGGCCGGGAGCAUGCGACGUCGGGCCCAAUUCGCCCUAUAGUGAGUCGUAUUACAUUCYGGG